RNAcentral lists this ribosomal RNA (309 nucleotides) under Triticum aestivum (bread wheat). RNAcentral describes it as "partial small subunit ribosomal RNA". Lineage: Eukaryota; Viridiplantae; Streptophyta; Magnoliopsida; Poales; Poaceae. The record is from RNAcentral.
AUGGCUACCUGGCAUGAGCUUGUGGAGAUAGCCAGUUCCAUAAGUUUUGUAGAGGAGGAAGACACCCCUGUUUGGAAUCUAAAUUCUAAAGGGAUAUAUACUGUCAAAUCCUUCUACAAGUUAAAAAAUUUUAGAGGGGUCUUACCUACUUCCACCCCUGCUGUGUGGAAUAUAAAAAUCCCCCCCAGGAUUCAGAUUUUUCUCUGGCUGUUGGUUAAUAACAAACUCUUAACCAGAGAUAAUUUGAGUAAGAGACAGGAGGUGAGUGAUCCCACCUGUGUGUUUUGCUCUGAUCAAGAGUCUUGUUAG